This 83-nucleotide transfer RNA is filed under the name Elusimicrobia bacterium HGW-Elusimicrobia-1. RNAcentral describes it as "tRNA-Leu". It matches the Rfam family "tRNA". From Rfam's summary of the family: Transfer RNA (tRNA) molecules are approximately 80 nucleotides in length. Their secondary structure includes four short double-helical elements and three loops (D, anti-codon, and T loops). Further hydrogen bonds mediate the characteristic L-shaped molecular structure. tRNAs have two regions of fundamental functional importance: the anti-codon, which is responsible for specific mRNA codon recognition, and the 3' end, to which the tRNAs corresponding amino acid is attached (by aminoacyl-tRNA synthetases). tRNAs cope with the degeneracy of the genetic code in two manners: having more than one tRNA (with a specific anti-codon) for a particular amino acid; and 'wobble' base-pairing, i.e. permitting non-standard base-pairing at the 3rd anti-codon position. The record is from RNAcentral. Lineage: Bacteria; Pseudomonadati; Elusimicrobiota.
GCUCCCGUGGUGGAACUGGCAGACACGCAUGGCUUAGGACCAUGUCCUGAAAUAGGGUAGAGGUUCAAAUCCUCUCGGGAGCA